UACGGGGGGGGCAAGCGUUGUUCGGAAUUACUGGGCGUAAAGGGCUCGUAGGCGGCCAACUAAGUCGGAUGUGAAAUCCCCAGGCUCAACCUGGGAACUGCAUCCGAUACUGGAUGGCUUGAAUCCGGGAGAGGGAUGCAGAAUUCCAGGUGUAGCGGUGAAAUGCGUAGAUAUCAGGAAGAACACCCGUGGCGAAGGCGGCUCUCUGGUACGUGACUGACGCUGAGACGCGAAAGCGUGGGGAGCAAACAGG
Molecule: ribosomal RNA, 253 nt
Filed under: uncultured bacterium
Lineage: Bacteria
Description: partial 16S ribosomal RNA
Rfam family: Bacterial small subunit ribosomal RNA
Source: RNAcentral